GUACGCGUGGGAGGCUCUGACACGCGGUCCAAACCCCGGCCGCCGGGACCGCGCUGAGCUACUGGCGAGACCGACCUGCGCGAGG
Molecule: non-coding RNA, 85 nt
Filed under: unclassified sequences
Description: c-di-GMP sequence
Rfam family: c-di-GMP-II-GAG riboswitch aptamer
Source: Rfam by way of RNAcentral